GGUGGCUUAGUGGUAGAGCGCCUGCCUUGCAUACAUGAAGCCCUGGGUUCGAUUCCUCAGCACCA
Non-coding RNA from Dipodomys ordii (Ord's kangaroo rat), 65 nucleotides. The record is from Rfam. Lineage: Eukaryota; Metazoa; Chordata; Mammalia; Rodentia; Heteromyidae.